Molecule: long non-coding RNA, 2824 nt
Organism: Rosa chinensis
Lineage: Eukaryota; Viridiplantae; Streptophyta; Magnoliopsida; Rosales; Rosaceae
Exons: 9
Source: RefSeq, a predicted model, not a curated record
AGCUAAGACCGUAUGUUGGCUUAGCAGUUAGUUUAAAGUUAAGGAUGGAGUUGAGAGUUUAACCAAAGAGCGUAGGAGAUUAGUCCUAAUUACUUUUUAUGGACUAAUAAACUUGAAAGCUUCAGACCCUCUUCCAUAGUAAUCUUAGAGGUUAUCCGGUGAAUGAUUCUCUUCAGUUUGUCUUGUUGGAAAAUUUUGGCCUGCUAUAGAGCUGAAGUUAACUUUGUUUUGCACCAUAAACCCCACCCUUUUGCAGCAAACGACAUGGAGAGUGAGCUCUCUGAAUUAUUGCUUCUUAUUCUGGUUUAAAUUUGGUGAUAUUGAAUUAUAAAAAUGUAGGCCAAGUGCAUGAUUGUGUUCUGUUUCACUGUGGCUGGUAUCUGUUCUCCAGUCAAUGGGUGCACUCAACGUGUGUGUCAGGUUUUGAUUGACUUCAUUGAUACCUCCAAUUAUGUUUAACCCGGAUGGAUAUAUUUUGUUGACCAAUACAUCAGAAUGGUCUUUUUGUUCAAUUUGAUCUAUGAUUAUUUACUGGAAGCCACCUUUUUUUUUUUUUCCCUAGUGGACUAUCAAAUUAUAGGUUCCCAAUCAGGGACUGAAAUGAAUGAGGAAAAGCCUAUGUAGGCUACUUGUCAAAAGUGUACUUUCAUACCUCUUAAUCUUCCUUCUUAGAUCUAUAACCAGAUUCCUGCUAUUGGUAAGGUGGUAGCUUUCUUCUGCUGCAUAAAUUAAUAGUAGUAAUAGUAAACAAACCUAUGUUCAGAUUGGAAACAAGAUAUUUUGAAAUAUUAUGCAAUAAUAAUCUCACUGGAAAUUUUCUUGAUUUCGCCUCUUAGCUUCUGUGGAAAGUUAACAAGCUCAUUAAUCUUUUUCGCUUGGGCAGGAGGAACUAAAAUCUGUUGAAUGCCUCCAACCUGCUUCCCGAUGCUGCACAGAGUAUGAUUGCUGAUUUUGUGACUGCGAAUCCAGAUCCGUUAAUACCAACGAUUUGCGAAAGCUUGUUUGUACCUGCGUAUAGCUUCUGGUCUUCUAGUACCAGAAGCCAAGCUGUUUCUGCAUUUGGAGGAUUUGCUUUAUGUGGUUAAAGCCAAACCCCUUGAUCGCAGGAUGAUGUGUGACUCACCGAUUGUGCAAACUAAGUUGAGCCAAAGUGAUUCUCUCUGUAAAUAUUCUCAUUCUAGCAUCUCAUGUGAUUCUGAAUUUCAGUCAGAGGUUGUGAAAGAUGACUCGUUGUCAAAGGUAAGUACCGGUGCACAUCUUCCAGGCAAAUGAUUUCGAAUUGCUAAAAUGUUCUGUUGGGAACCACGUGAAUUCAAUUGAUCUGGAAAUGAAUGAAUUUGUUCUAUUCAUUUGCAAGUGAAGUUUACUGUUAUUUAAUAAAGAUAUUUCCAGGCUAGUUUAGUAAAUUUAGGACAUGGACUCUCUCUUCUAGGAAUUUGCAUUCCAAAUCCACUCAGAAUUCUACAAAAUCUUUGGAAUUUGAGGAAAUCAUGUGGGUCGUAGCACGUUCUAGCAAAAUCUUUGUUGCUUAUGGAUUAUGCGUAACUUGGUCCAAAAUACUAACUACAUAUAACUUUAUUCUCAUUGUUUGUAGUAUGUUUGGUUUUUCUUUAGUGGUCAAACUACAGUUCCUAAAUUUGGUAUUUUGUUUGAUUUUUGGGUGAGUAAUCUUGAUGAUGGUAUUGAACGACUUGGAUCCUGCAAUAAAAGUUCAUACCCGACAAGUUCCAGCUUGAAUAGGAUGUACAAAGAUUGGAACGGCAGCUGCUUGAAGAAAUAGAGCUACGUGCUAUUCUGGAAAAUGCAAUUGAGAAAAAUGCUACUCAAUUCUCCAGUCCAGCAUGCCUUCCUUACAAUGCUCAAGAGAUCCUAAGCAUUAUUGCUGCAGUGGAGGUGACAGUUUCCGAACUAGAACAGGAUCGGAGUUGGUUGCAUUGCAUUUCCAACCAAGUCAAGAAAGAAAUAAAAGAAGGCUGGCAGAAUAUCGUCUGAGGCAUCCAUCUCCUCGGUCAAUGUCUCCUCGCCCGUCCAGCAUUAUGAAACUGCCGAUUUCAUCUUCCAGAAUGUCUGCUGACCACCCGAGGUGGGUAUCCAACUGGGGGAUUAACUGCACGUGCAAUACAGUUGGGAAGUAAAUCUGUUUUACUGGCACAUGCCGUGCAGGUGCAAUAGUUUAGAGAUGUCUGGGAAGUCGUCCUUGGCUUGAAGACAUCAGAUCUGAAGUGUGGUGAUUUUCUGAGCUACCAGUUGACGAUCCAUCUCCCAUCACUUGUUUGUGUGAGCACCAAGCAGAAGCGUUAACGGAGAAGGGUCAAGGACGUACAAGAGAUGGAAAAUGAUCUUCAUGGAGAAACAGAUAUGGGAAGCAUGAGAGUGCAUCACUAGUGAUAGGCGAUCAGCUAGUGUAUCAAUAGCACAUUGAAUUAUUUAUCAUACUAAUCAUUGCGUUGAAUUCACUUAAACUGUAGCCUAAGAAAGACUGCGUUUAGCAUAUGUACUGAAAAAGCCAUUCAGCAUUUUGGACUGCACAGAGAUGGGUACCUGAUCUCUAGAGUGCACAAUUUGAGCCUAAAAAUAUUUGUCCAGCCUGCCCUGUUAUUUCAUCUUGCAUGCAUUGGUGGCUACAUAAACUCGGUGUACACCUUUGUGAUUCAUGGUGACAUAUUUGCAUUCUUGCUGACUUUAUUGAGCCGGUAUUUAUAGAUUUCUUGAAGUCAUAGAUUGCAUUUAUUUUCAGGUGGAACUCUUUUGUAGGCAACUGCCCCAGUGCCCUGUAUGGAAAUUAUGUAUGUUGAGGACUUUGUUCUUUUUUUUUGGUCAAAGA